AACGUAGGGUGCAAGCGUUGUCCGGAAUUACUGGGUGUAAAGGGAGUGUAGGUGGCCAUGCAAGUCAGAAGUGAAAAUCCGGGGCUCAACCCCGGGACUGCAUUGGAAACUGCCCGUCUUGAGUGCCGGAGAGGUAAGCGGAAUUCCUAGUGUAGCGGUGAAAUGCGUAGAUAUUAGGAGGAACACCAGUGGCGAAGGCGGCUUACUGGACGGUAACUGACGUUGAGGCUCGAAAGCGUGGGGAGCAAACAGG
This 253-nucleotide ribosomal RNA is filed under the name Blautia luti. RNAcentral's name for it is "partial 16S ribosomal RNA". It matches the Rfam family "Bacterial small subunit ribosomal RNA", at positions 524 to 776 of the family's 1533-position model. The record is from RNAcentral. Lineage: Bacteria; Bacillati; Bacillota; Clostridia; Lachnospirales; Lachnospiraceae.